This 318-nucleotide ribosomal RNA is filed under the name Nitrospirota bacterium. RNAcentral's name for it is "bacterial SSU rRNA". It matches the Rfam family "Bacterial small subunit ribosomal RNA", at positions 1 to 303 of the family's 1533-position model. The record is from RNAcentral. Lineage: Bacteria; Pseudomonadati; Nitrospirota.
AUGAGAGUUUGAUCCUGGCUCAGAGCGAACGCUGGCGGCGUGCCUAACACAUGCAAGUCGAGCGGGGCGCAGGGGAGCGAACCUUUCGGGGUUCAAUUCUCUGUUGCCUAGCGGCGGACGGGUGAGUAACACGUAGGCAACCUACCCCUGGGACUGGGACAACCCGGGGAAACCCGGGCUAAUACCGGAUAAGACCACGUACUGGGAUGUAUGUGGUAAAAGGGGGAACCCGCCUGGGGAUGGGCCUGCGGCCUAUCAGGUAGUUGGUGAGGUAGAGGCUCACCAAGCCGAAGACGGGUAGCCGGUCUGAGAGGAUGG